GCCCCACUCAACAUAAUUUGGCUCCACUAUUGCUUCCAUAUCUCCAAGAUGGAGGGGUUAAUCUCAAGCCGGUUAAUUAAUUUUCUAAGGUUUGCAUUAGUUUGUUGUCAAAAAGAAGAAUCAUUUAAAGAGCAUUCCUCUUAUAUGAAACUGCCAAUUGAAUUUCAAGAAAACAUAAAAAGAAAGAAAAUGUCUUCCAUAGUUACUACUUGAAUUGGGAAAUCAAUAUCCAAAGUGAGACCACCAAUAAAUGGAAAAUGGACAAAGUAUAUAGUAUUUUGCACAAUUAUAAUAAAUAUAUCCCCAACUAAUUGGUUAUGAACAGGGCUUCUAUACUUUUCUUUUUCAUUUCUUUUUGGGAAUUUCACAAAAUUUUCCAGUAGAUGCGGCUCCAUUUGUGAUUUGCUUAAUGUA
Molecule: unclassified non-coding RNA, 414 nt
Filed under: Hevea brasiliensis (rubber tree)
Lineage: Eukaryota; Viridiplantae; Streptophyta; Magnoliopsida; Malpighiales; Euphorbiaceae
Source: RNAcentral